Sciurus carolinensis (gray squirrel) is the source of this 682-nucleotide long non-coding RNA. RefSeq lists it as uncharacterized. The record is from RefSeq and is a predicted model, not a curated record. The transcript is spliced from 3 exons. Lineage: Eukaryota; Metazoa; Chordata; Mammalia; Rodentia; Sciuridae.
AUGGAGGACCUGAGAAGGCCUAAAGAGAUUUAGCAUAAGAGAGAGCUGAGAACCAAGGACCUUGCUGUCUUGGCUCCACAGAGAACUUAGAUGACCUCCAUGUGACAUCAUCAGUGAACCUAAGAAACAGGGGCAGAAACUUGGCUUUCACUGACAAUGCAUCUAAAUCCACUCCAUAAAAAUGGCCCCCAAAGAACCAUUAGGAAUUCAGAGUCAACUGGAAGCUUGGUGGUUGAGAUUGGGACAAGAAUGCAUGAUGCCAUGCUUGGUUCCUGAAAUCCAUCCUCAUUUGCACAACUGGCAAACAAGAAGUACUGAUACAGCCAGGAAAGCAGGACUGGAGAGCUCUAAAGAGGACAGUCGUACCAUCUAAUCUGCUCAGGAGACCGAGAGAAAUGUGCAGAGGUUGGCCCGGCACUUCCUGUGCCUGCUUCCUACCAGAUGUCAGUGGCAAAGAGAGGUUUGGGACAGAGCAUGUCCUACAGUUCUUAUGGGGAGACAAUGGCACACAUAAACAAUCCACAGAAAUACAAGAGGGCAGAAGUUAAGUGAAAAAUGAAGAAUAUUGGUUGUAGAAUUCAGAAGCAGAAAACAGCAUAUGUUGGCCAAGAUUAAAAAUGAUCUCACACAGGUACUAUGACGUGAUUUGGGGACUGCACAAUGAUAUGGCUGUGAAAGUCAU